GUAAGGAAUAUUGGACAAUGGACGCAAGUCUGAUCCAGCCAUGCCGCGUGAAGGAUUAAGGUCCUCUGGAUUGUACACUUCUGUUAUAAGGGACGAAAAAAGGCUUUUCUAAGUCGUCUGACGGUACCUUAUGAAUAAGCACCGGCUAACUCCGUGCCAGCAGCCGCGGUCAUACGGAGGGUGCAAGCGUUAUCCGGAUUCACUGGGUUUAAAGGGUGCGUAGGCGGGCAGGUAAGUCAGUGGUGAAAUCCUAGAGCUUAACUCUAGAACUGCCAUUGAUACUCUCUGUCCUGAAUAUUGUGGAGGUAAGCGGAAGUUGUCAUGUAGCGGUGAAAUGCUUAGAUAUGACAUAGAACACCUAUUGCGAAGGCAGCUUACUACGCAUAUAUUGACGCUGAGGCACGAAAGCGUGGGGAUCAAACAGGAUUAGAAACCCCUGUAGUCC
RNAcentral lists this ribosomal RNA (445 nucleotides) under uncultured bacterium. RNAcentral's name for it is "bacterial SSU rRNA". It matches the Rfam family "Bacterial small subunit ribosomal RNA", at positions 354 to 796 of the family's 1533-position model. The record is from RNAcentral.